CUUUUUUUUUUUUUUAAACGGAGUCUUGUUCUGUUGCCCAGGCUGGUGUGCAGUGGCACGAUCUCGGCUCACUGCAAACUCCACCUCCCGGGUUCACGCCAUUCUCCUGUCUCAGCCUCCCAAGUAGUUGGGACUACAAGCGCCCACCACCACGCCUGGCUAAUUUUUUUUGUAUUUUUCGUAGAGACGGGGGUUUCACCGUGUUAGCCAGGAUGGUCUCGAUUUCCUGACUUCGUGAUCCGCCUGCCUCCGCCUCCCAAAGUGCUGUGAUUGCAGGCGUGAGCCACCACGCCCAGCCGAGGCCUUUUUUUUUUUUCUUUUAAAGAGAUGGGAUCUCACCGGGCACUGUGGCUCACGUCUAUAAUCCCCAGGAUUUUUGGAGGCCGACACAAGGGGAUCGCUUGAACCCGUGAGUCAAGACCAGCCUGGACGACAUAGCGAGACUUCGUUUCUGAAAAAAAUACAAGCAUUUUGAACCCGGGAGGCGGAGGUUGCAGUGAGCCGAGAUCGCGCCACUGCACUCCAGCCUGGGCGACAGACCGAGACCCCGUCUCAAACAACAACAACAACAACAACAACAACAACAACAACAAAAACCAAACAAAAAACCAAGCAUUUGGCAGGCAUGGUGGCGCACACGCCUGUGGUCCCAGCCACUCUGGAGGCUGAGGUGGGAGGAUCACUUGAGCCAGGGAGUUCGAGGCUGCAGUGAGCGGUGAUCGCGCUGGGGGACCGAGCCAGAACUUGUCUCAAAAAAAAAAAAAAAAAGAAAAAGAAAAACAAAAAACCGGCUAGUGUGUGAGGGGCGCGCGAUUUUUAAAAUGUGAGAGGGAAUUGUGCUUCACGGUCACCACCAGGUGUCGCGACAUCGGGUGCCGCGUCGUCCCGCGUCUGUGGCGCGGUGGCCUGAGAAACUAGCUGCAGAGCCCGCUCUUCCUAGCCUACUGCCCGAAAACGCAGAAUUUGGGGAAUUGGAACUUUGGAGGCGGGAGCGAAAGACCUCUCCUUCUCCCGCCGGAAAUACCCCUCUUUUCAGGAAGCGCGCCCCUGCCUUGCAGAAAGGAAGAACCGUGAUCGCGCCACUACACUCAAGCCUCUGGGUGACAGAGCGAGGAGACCCUGUCUCCAAAACACAAACAAACAAAAAAGCCUCCGACGCCAUCUUCUUGGCAACCUCCUGCUUCUGGGCCCAGCCAACACUGUUUUUGUGGUUAUCUGCUUCUUGUCCCCAAGCAUGAGCUCCCAGAUGUGUCAGAAUGACUCCACCCAGGCGGAGGCAGCCACCAACUGCCUGGUCAACCGGCAUCUCGCUGAGCUUCUACUUCGGCCGCGACGAUGUGGCUCUGGAAGGCGAACUGGCCAAAUGUCUCUGGAAGAUGCAAAGCCAGCGUAGCAGCUCGCUCUUUUGUAGGUCCUGCAGAUGAGAUGAGUGGGAUAAAACCCUGGACGCUGCAGGGGCAGCCUUGGCCCUGGAGAGGAGCCUGAACCAGCCUCUUCUGGGUCUUCAUGCCCCAGGUUCUGCUGGCACAGACCUCAUCUCUGGGACUUCCUAGAGAGGCCUUUCCUAGAUGUGGGACUGAAACUCGUCAAGAGAGUGGAUGAUCGCCUGACCUCUGCAGGCUGGCCGCCAGGAACCAGGGCAGGCAACUGUCUUUUCCAAAGUCUUGCCACCCUCAAGCACGACUGGGAGCCUAGCAAGCCCAGCGACCUCUGAGAGGCUCCUUUCAAAGGAUCAGCAUUUUUGCCUGCCUGAGCCUCCCACUCCAGCCACUAGGCAGCUUUUUAACCACCCUGGAGCCCUCACCCAAGCCUAGACCAAAUUUUCAGGGACAAAAGUGGGGAAGGGGCUGGGGUGGGGAAAUCAAAUUCAUGACCUUCUUAGGGUAAGGCUGUUCUAGGAAGAGGAAACCUGCCAUCCCACAACCCCUAGACCAUAAUAGCAUUUAUUCCCUCCAGGGAUCAACAAACCAGUGACAGAGAGACUCUGGAGCCAUUGAAAUCUACUGAUUAAGGCCAGGCAUGGUGGCUCACGCCUGUUGGCACUUUGGGAGACCAAGGCGGGAGGAUCACGAGGUCAGGAGUUCGAGACCAGCCUGGCCAACAUAGCAAAACCCCAUUUCUACUAAAAAUACAAAAAAAAAAAAAAAAAAUUAGCCAGGCAUGAUGGCGGGUGCCUGGAAUCCCAGCUACUCAGGAGGCUGAGGCAGGAGAACCACUUGAACCUGGGAGGCAGAGGUUGCAGUGAGCCGAUAUCGUGCCAUUGUACUCUAGCCUGGGCAACAAGAGCAAGACUCCAUCUCAUAAAAAAAAAAAAAGAAAAAUCUACUGAUUAAUGCCUGUCUUAACUCCAGUGUCAGUAGUAGCUUUGACAAAUGCCUUUUAUAUCACAUGACUAUACUUUGCCAAGCGUACUGAACACUAUAAUUGUUUCCUAAUACCCCAUGUGAUACCCCCAUGCUUCUUCAUAAGUUUGUAACACAUUUAAAAAUAGCAUGAUGCCGGGGGCGGUGGCUCAUGCCUGUAAUCCCAGCACUUUGGGAGGCCGAGGUGGGUGGAUCACCUGAUGUUGGGAGUUCAAGACCAACCUGACCAACAUGGAGAAACCCUGUCUCUACUAAAAAUACAAAAUUAACCAGGUGUGGUGGCCCAUGCCUGUAAUCCUAGCUAAUUGGGAGGCUGAGGCAGGAGAAUCGCUUGAACCCAGGAGGCGGAGGUUGUGGUGAACCGAGAUCGCAUCAAUGCACUCCAGCCCGGGCAACAAGAGCAAAACUCCGUCUCAAAAAAAAAAAAAUAAAGAAUUAGCUGGGCAUGGUGGGCA
Molecule: long non-coding RNA, 2818 nt
Organism: Piliocolobus tephrosceles (Ugandan red Colobus)
Lineage: Eukaryota; Metazoa; Chordata; Mammalia; Primates; Cercopithecidae
Source: Ensembl